RNAcentral lists this ribosomal RNA (497 nucleotides) under uncultured bacterium. RNAcentral's name for it is "partial 16S ribosomal RNA". It matches the Rfam family "Bacterial small subunit ribosomal RNA", at positions 28 to 507 of the family's 1533-position model. The record is from RNAcentral.
GAUGAACGCUGGCGGCGUGCCUAAUACAUGCAAGUCGAGCGAACAGACGCGGAGCUUGCUUCUCUGACGUUUGCGGCGGACGGGAGAGUAACACGUGGAUAACCUACCUAUAAGACUGGGAUAACUUCGGGAAACCGGAGCUAAUACCGGAUAAUAUCUUGAACCGCAUGGUUCAAUAGUGUAAGACGGUUUUGCUGUCACUUAUCGAUGUAUCCGCGCGGCAUUAGCUAGUUGGUAAGGUAACGGCUUACCAAGGCAGCGAUGCGUAGCCGACCUGAGCGGGUGAUCGGCCACACUGGAACUGAGACACGGUCCAGACUCCUACGGGAGGCAGCAGUAGGGAAUCUUCCACAAUGGGCGAAAGCCUGACGGAGCAACGCCGCGUGAGUGAUGAAGGUCUUCGGAGCGUAAAACUCUGUUAUUAGGGAAGAACAAAUGUGUAAGUAACUAUGCACGUCUUGACGGUACCUAAUCAGAAAGCCACGGCUAACUACGUG